AAUAAGGGGCAUAUGUUUAUUCAUAUGUUUAUUUAUGUAACGUAAGCGUGUGACUUUUAAUUCGUGACGUGCUUUCAUGGGCGUGCGCGCGGACCGGAUGGAGUUGCCAUGGAAACGGAGCGCAACACUGCAAAUGUCACGAGGAAACACCAUAGACAGUAAAGGGAAACACCCCGUUUCUCGCUGAUUUCACUGUUUUCAGGAAUGGUUUAAUGUCUUCGAAAAAGUCCGUUAGCAUUUCUACCGUUUUCAGACGACGUAUCGUCAGAAGGGAGUUUUCAAGGUUUCAAUAUUUCUGAAAGGAGCUGCUGACAGAGAUGUAGGAAGCGCUGAAAAGGUUAAGUAACCUAAUAUGCAUUUUUUUCACAACAUAUAUCGCAAUGAAUCUGUUAUUUUAUUUAUUUAUUUUUUGCAUCUCACCUGCUCUAGCUUGUUUCCAUCUAAUAAACCUGGAACUGCAGACUAAAUAUUGUUGGCUCUGUGUCAAAUAGCUUGUUUUGUUCUUAGAUUCUUCAGUGCUGACCCAGACAGCAACAUAGUGUUGGCCCAGAUCCGGCCCACAUCUGGCCCGCAUGAAAUCCAUGUGGGCCAGAUAUGGGCCAGACCUGGGCCGAAACUGCUUGCUGUCUGGGGAUGGCCUGCUGCAUCCAGCAGAGUCGGAGUGAACCUACUGUAAGACAACAUCUCCUAGAUACUAUUGACCACAAGACUAGUACAGGUUAUUAGAAACUGCACAGCACAGGACUUGCAGGACUUGUGAGGACUUCAGAUGAUACCAGUACUCAAAAGACCUUAGAUGAUGGCAGCUAUAGAUGGACAUACAAACUACCGCCACUGCAAAAAAGAUUCUAAUUUGAAAGAAGUUUAUAAUGCAUGUUCGCUACUCCCAAUUCAGAAGACUGAAUCAGCCUGUGUAUCUGAAUGUUUCUCAUACUCACUCCUCUCUGCCGCGUCUGAAUUUGGGAUUUUCCUUAGCUGUCAGUUAUAAACGUCAAAAUUAAAAGAAAUAAACAUUUGAAAUAUAUCAGUCUGUGUGUAAUGAAUAAAUAUAAUAUACAAGUUUCACUUUUUGAAUGGAAUUAGAGAAAUAAAUCAACUUUUUGAUGAUAUUCUAAUUAUAUGACCAGCACCUGUAUAUCAUUGCUCUUUUGUUGAUUUUGAUUGCUUCCAUUGUCCUCAUUUGUAAGUUGCUUUGGAUAAAAGUGUCUGCUAAAUGUAAAUGUAAUGUUAAUGUGUAUUUAACUAUAUUUAUAAAUAUUUAUCUGUAUUUUUUAUUUUGUAAUAAUGUAAAUGUAUUUGUUUUAUAUCUAUACAUGCAGUUGUAUUCAUGUAUGUAUAUUUAUUUGUCAAAUUUUUAUAUUUUAAUAAAGCAGU
Carassius gibelio (silver crucian carp) is the source of this 1374-nucleotide long non-coding RNA. RefSeq lists it as uncharacterized. Lineage: Eukaryota; Metazoa; Chordata; Actinopteri; Cypriniformes; Cyprinidae. The transcript has 5 exons. The record is from RefSeq and is a predicted model, not a curated record.